AAUAUCAAAGGUGAGCCAGUACAGGAUGGACCCGCGUCUGAUUAGCUAGUUGGUAAGGUAACGGCUUACCAAGGCGACGAUCAGUAGCCGACCUGGGAGGGUGAUCGGCCACAUUGGAACUGAGACACGGUCCAAACUCCUACGGGAGGCAGCAGUGGGGAAUAUUGCACAAUGGGCGAAAGCCUGAUGCAGCAACGCCGCGUGAGUGAUGAAGGCCUUCGGGUCGUAAAAC
RNAcentral lists this ribosomal RNA (232 nucleotides) under Clostridioides difficile. Its description in RNAcentral is "partial 16S ribosomal RNA". It matches the Rfam family "Bacterial small subunit ribosomal RNA", at positions 197 to 431 of the family's 1533-position model. Lineage: Bacteria; Bacillati; Bacillota; Clostridia; Peptostreptococcales; Peptostreptococcaceae. The record is from RNAcentral.